This 495-nucleotide ribosomal RNA is filed under the name uncultured bacterium. RNAcentral's name for it is "partial 16S ribosomal RNA". It matches the Rfam family "Bacterial small subunit ribosomal RNA", at positions 28 to 507 of the family's 1533-position model. The record is from RNAcentral.
GACGAACGCUGGCGGCGUGCCUAAUACAUGCAAGUAGAACGCUGAAGGAGGAGCUUGCUUCUCUGGAUGAGUUGCGAACGGGUGAGUAACGCGUAGGUAACCUGCCUGGUAGCGGGGGAUAACUAUUGGAAACGAUAGCUAAUACCGCAUAAUAGUAGAUGUUGCAUGACAUUUGCUUAAAAGUUGCAAUUGCAUCACUACCAGAUGGACCUGCGUUGUAUUAGCUAGUUGGUGGGGUAACGGCUCACCAAGGCGACGAUACAUAGCCGACCUGAGAGGGGGAUCGGCCACACUGGGACUGAGACACGGCCCAGACUCCUACGGGAGGCAGCAGUAGGGAAUCUUCGGCAAUGGACGGAAGUCUGACCGAGCAACGCCGCGUGAGUGAAGAAGGUUUUCGGAUCGUAAAGCUCUGUUGUAAGAGAAGAACGAGUGUGAGAGUGGAAAGUUCACACUGUGACGGUAUCUUACCAGAAAGGGACGGCUAACUACGUG